Molecule: transfer RNA, 84 nt
Filed under: Bacillota bacterium
Lineage: Bacteria; Bacillati; Bacillota
Also listed under: 2 other names
Description: tRNA-Leu
Rfam family: tRNA
About the family: Transfer RNA (tRNA) molecules are approximately 80 nucleotides in length. Their secondary structure includes four short double-helical elements and three loops (D, anti-codon, and T loops). Further hydrogen bonds mediate the characteristic L-shaped molecular structure. tRNAs have two regions of fundamental functional importance: the anti-codon, which is responsible for specific mRNA codon recognition, and the 3' end, to which the tRNAs corresponding amino acid is attached (by aminoacyl-tRNA synthetases). tRNAs cope with the degeneracy of the genetic code in two manners: having more than one tRNA (with a specific anti-codon) for a particular amino acid; and 'wobble' base-pairing, i.e. permitting non-standard base-pairing at the 3rd anti-codon position.
Source: RNAcentral
GCCGCUGUGGCGUAAUCGGCAGACGCAGCGGACUUAAAAUCCGCCGGAGUAAAAUCCGUACCGGUUCAAGUCCGGUCAGCGGCA